CAGCAGCCACGGGAAUACCAGCACCUCGAGUGGUCAGGAGGUUUAUUGGGCCUAAAGCAUCCGUAGCCGGUUGCAUAAGUUUUCGGUUAAAUCUAUGCGCUUAACGUAUAGGCCGCCGAAAAUACUGUGCAGCUAGGGAGUGGGAGAGGUACACGGUACUCGAUAGGAAGAGGUAAAAUCCUUUGAUCUAUUGAUGACCACCUGUGGCGAAGGCGGUGUACCAGAACACGUUCGACGGUGAGGGAUGAAAGCUUGGGGAGCAAACCGGAUUAGAUACCCCAGUAGUCCCUGUCUCUUAUAA
RNAcentral lists this ribosomal RNA (301 nucleotides) under uncultured bacterium. RNAcentral describes it as "partial 16S ribosomal RNA". It matches the Rfam family "Archaeal small subunit ribosomal RNA", at positions 459 to 760 of the family's 1478-position model. The record is from RNAcentral.